Long non-coding RNA from Mauremys reevesii (Reeves's turtle), 1147 nucleotides. RefSeq lists it as uncharacterized. The record is from RefSeq and is a predicted model, not a curated record. Lineage: Eukaryota; Metazoa; Chordata; Testudines; Geoemydidae. The transcript is spliced from 3 exons.
UCAGUCAGUCAGGGAGGGAGGGAACUGGAGGUCUCCUAGCUGAAGGCUGACUCUGCCUGUAAAGGACAUGACUAAUCCUGUAAAGCUUGUAUGCAGAUAGAUGCUAGUGGUGGGACAACCUUAAGUGAAUAAAGACACAGGUGUUGCACAACCGUGAAGCCUCUCUGAGCCUUAUUGGGGGCAGCAAGCAGUCCCCAGGAAGAGGGGUGUGUUGUGAACCCUUUAAAAAACAAAAAGGAUUCAGAUAAUGCAGAAGGAUGGAUAAUAAAGCAGAGGACCGCUGUUCCCCCUCAUCAUCCAGGGGAGAGGCCAAUGUAAUGCUAAAUGGCUCCUGCAGCAGCGCAGGAAGCCUCUGCAACCCUGUUGUCAUUGAACCAGAGGGAAGACGUAGAGAUAUGUUUAUGAAAGACUGUGAUUUGAAGAUGCUCCUUCACAAGGGACAGUGUUGGGAAUGUGGGAAUUUGGAGAUGUGCCCUGAAGGCAGGAACUAGAAACACCACAUAGCUGUGUGCAGCAGUUCACUGCUGAAGCUCUCCAGUUUGUUUUAUUAAAGUUUUAUUCCCUGCUCAUUCACUGGUUUGUUAUGUAAUGAACUCCAAGAUCAUUACAAUACCAUAUAGCUAGAAUUGUUCUUUAGCCUAAACCAUUUGACUGGAAUCCAUUAUUAACGCAUUGCAAUGCCUAUAUAUUUUAUUGUUGUUUCUCCCCAUAACACUGUAGUGUUUAAAUACUAUGUUUGUGAACUAUAUUAAAUUCAAAGAGCAUAUAUGCAUUUUUUUUAAAAGGUGGGGAGAAGGAGGAAGAUGAUGGAGUAUGGUGCACAAAUUUGGUCAUUUGUUAUUGUACAACUUAUCUCUAAAAUCUUGUUUAUUUUCCCUGGAUCCAUAACCACAUAAUGAAGGGACUCUAUCUAAUUGCCCGGAUCUAUAGUCCAUAAUUUUACUCAUAAGGAAACUAGAAUGUGAUUCAACGCUGGAGAUAUUAACAUUUUCCAGAAAGUGGCUGCAUAGUUGCUAUUUUCCAUUUAAUCAGUGAAACAAAAUUUAUUGAUUAUUGUUUUCAAUUGUUUAUGUGCUAUGGGUUUUCGAGUCAGGAAAAAAAGAAAACUGGAUAGCCCUGAUGCAUAAUGUUCAUGGGGUCAUUCUUA